RNAcentral lists this transfer RNA (72 nucleotides) under Salmo salar (Atlantic salmon). It matches the Rfam family "tRNA". From Rfam's summary of the family: Transfer RNA (tRNA) molecules are approximately 80 nucleotides in length. Their secondary structure includes four short double-helical elements and three loops (D, anti-codon, and T loops). Further hydrogen bonds mediate the characteristic L-shaped molecular structure. tRNAs have two regions of fundamental functional importance: the anti-codon, which is responsible for specific mRNA codon recognition, and the 3' end, to which the tRNAs corresponding amino acid is attached (by aminoacyl-tRNA synthetases). tRNAs cope with the degeneracy of the genetic code in two manners: having more than one tRNA (with a specific anti-codon) for a particular amino acid; and 'wobble' base-pairing, i.e. permitting non-standard base-pairing at the 3rd anti-codon position. Lineage: Eukaryota; Metazoa; Chordata; Actinopteri; Salmoniformes; Salmonidae. The record is from Rfam by way of RNAcentral.
UCCCCUGUGGCUCAGUUGGUAGAGCAUGGUGUUUGCAAUGCCAGGGUUGUGGGUUCAAUUCCCACGGGGGAC